GAGUCAUUAGCUCAGUUGGUAGAGCACCUGACUUUUAAUCAGGGUGUCGAAGGUUCGAAUCCUUCAUGACUCAC
Molecule: transfer RNA, 74 nt
Filed under: Paenibacillus polysaccharolyticus
Lineage: Bacteria; Bacillati; Bacillota; Bacilli; Caryophanales; Paenibacillaceae
Also listed under: 1 other name
Description: tRNA-Lys
Rfam family: tRNA
About the family: Transfer RNA (tRNA) molecules are approximately 80 nucleotides in length. Their secondary structure includes four short double-helical elements and three loops (D, anti-codon, and T loops). Further hydrogen bonds mediate the characteristic L-shaped molecular structure. tRNAs have two regions of fundamental functional importance: the anti-codon, which is responsible for specific mRNA codon recognition, and the 3' end, to which the tRNAs corresponding amino acid is attached (by aminoacyl-tRNA synthetases). tRNAs cope with the degeneracy of the genetic code in two manners: having more than one tRNA (with a specific anti-codon) for a particular amino acid; and 'wobble' base-pairing, i.e. permitting non-standard base-pairing at the 3rd anti-codon position.
Source: RNAcentral